CCUAAACGAUGUCAACUAGCUGUUGGGGCUUCGGGCCUUAGUAGCGCAGCUAACGCGUGAAGUUGACCGCUGGGGAGUACGGUCGCAAGAUUAAAACUCAAAGGAAUUGACGGGGACCCGCACAAGCGGUGGAUGAUGUGGAUUAAUUCGAUGCAACGCGAAAAACCUUACCUACCCUUGACAUGUCUGGAAUCCUGAAGAGAUUCGGGAGUGUCGCAAGAAACCGGAACACAGGUGCUGCAUGGCUGUCGUCAGCUCGUGUCGUGAGAUGUUGGGUUAAGUCCCGCAACGAGCGCAACCCUUGUCAUUAGUUGCUACGAAAGGGCACUCUAAUGAGACUGCCGGUGACAAACCGGAGGAAGGUGGGGAUGACGUCAAGUCCUCAUGGCCCUUAUGGGUAGGGCUUCACACGUCAUACAAUGGUCGGGACAGAGGGUUGCGAAGCCGCGAGGUGGAGCCAAUCCCAGAAACCCGAUCGUAGUCCGGAUUGCAGUCUGCAACUCGACUGCAUGAAGUCGGAAUCGCUAGUAAUCGCGGAUCAGAAUGUCGCGGUGAAUACGUUCCCGGGUCUUGUACACACCGCCCGUCACACCAUGGGAGUGGGUUUCACCAGAAGUAGGUAGCCUAACCGCAAGGGGGGCGCUUACCACGGUGGGAUUCAUGACUGGGGUGAAGUCGUAACAAGGUAACCA
RNAcentral lists this ribosomal RNA (692 nucleotides) under uncultured Alcaligenaceae bacterium. Its description in RNAcentral is "bacterial SSU rRNA". It matches the Rfam family "Bacterial small subunit ribosomal RNA", at positions 801 to 1502 of the family's 1533-position model. Lineage: Bacteria; Pseudomonadati; Pseudomonadota; Betaproteobacteria; Burkholderiales; Alcaligenaceae. The record is from RNAcentral.